GACGAACGCUGGCGGCGUGCCUAAUACAUGCAAGUAGAACGCACAGUUUAUACCGUAGCUUGCUACACCAUAGACUGUGAGUUGCGAACGGGUGAGUAACGCGUAGGUAACCUGCCUGGUAGCGGGGGAUAACUAUUGGAAACGAUAGCUAAUACCGCAUAAUAUUAAUUAUUGCAUGAUAAUUAAUUGAAAGGUGCAAUUGCACCACUACCAGAUGGACCUGCGUUGUAUUAGCUAGUAGGUGAGGUAACGGCUCACCUAGGCGACGAUACAUAGCCGACCUGAGAGGGUGAUCGGCCACACUGGGACUGAGACACGGCCCAGACUCCUACGGGAGGCAGCAGUAGGGAAUCUUCGGCAAUGGACGAAGGUCUGACCGAGCAACGCCGCGUGAGUGAAGAAGGUUGUCGGAUCGUAAAGCUCUGUUGUAAGAGAAGAACGGGUGUGAGAGUGGAAAGUUCACACUGUGACGGUAUCUUACCAGAAAGGGACGGCUAACUACGUG
RNAcentral lists this ribosomal RNA (505 nucleotides) under uncultured bacterium. RNAcentral describes it as "partial 16S ribosomal RNA". It matches the Rfam family "Bacterial small subunit ribosomal RNA", at positions 28 to 507 of the family's 1533-position model. The record is from RNAcentral.